GCUCCCGUAGUCUAGCGGCCAAGGAUUUGGGACUCUCACUCCCAAGACGGGGGUUCAAAUCCCCCCGGGAGCA
This 73-nucleotide transfer RNA is filed under the name Microcaldota archaeon. RNAcentral describes it as "Candidatus Micrarchaeota archaeon tRNA-Glu". It matches the Rfam family "tRNA". From Rfam's summary of the family: Transfer RNA (tRNA) molecules are approximately 80 nucleotides in length. Their secondary structure includes four short double-helical elements and three loops (D, anti-codon, and T loops). RNAcentral also lists the same sequence under 1 other name. Lineage: Archaea; Nanobdellati; Microcaldota. The record is from RNAcentral.